RNAcentral lists this ribosomal RNA (354 nucleotides) under uncultured bacterium. RNAcentral describes it as "bacterial SSU rRNA". It matches the Rfam family "Bacterial small subunit ribosomal RNA", at positions 29 to 409 of the family's 1533-position model. The record is from RNAcentral.
AGCGAACGCUGGCGGCAGGCUUAACACAUGCAAGUCGAACGCCCGUAGCAAUACGGGAGUGGCAGACGGGUGAGUAACACGUGGGAACAUACCCUUCGGUUCGGAAUAACUCAGGGAAACUUGAGCUAAUACCGGAUACGUCCGCGAGGAGAAAGAUUCAUCGCCGAAGGAUUGGCCCGCGUCCGAUUAGCUAGUUGGUGAGGUAAUGGCUCACCAAGGCGACGAUCGGUAGCGGUCUGAGAGGAUGACCAGCCACACUGGGACUGAGACACGGCCCAGACUCCUACGGGAGGCAGCAGUGGGGAAUAUUGGACAAUGGGCGCAAGCCUGAUCCAGCCAUGCCGCGUGGGUGAU